CUAAGGUAGCGAAAUUCCUUGUCGGGUAAGUUCCGACCUGCACGAAUGGCGUAAUGAUGGCCAGGCUGUCUCCACCCGAGACUCAGUGAAAUUGAACUCGCUGUGAAGAUGCAGUGUACCCGCGGCAAGACGGAAAGACCCCGUGAACCUUUACUAUAGCUUGACACUGAACAUUGAGCCUUGAUGUGUAGGAUAGGUGGGAGGCUUUGAAGUGUGGACGCCAGUCUGCAUGGAGCCGACCUUGAAAUACCACCCUUUAAUGUUUGAUGUUCUAACGUUGGCCCGUAAUCCGGGUUGCGGACAGUGUCUGGUGGGUAGUUUGACUGGGGCGGUCUCCUCCUAAAGAGUAACGGAGGAGCACGAAGGUUGGCUAAUCCUGGUCGGACAUCAGGAGGUUAGUGCAAUGGCAUAAGCCAGCUUGACUGCGAGCGUGACGGCGCGAGCAGGUGCGAAAGCAGGUCAUAGUGAUCCGGUGGUUCUGAAUGGAAGGGCCAUCGCUCAACGGAUAAAAGGUACUCCGGGGAUAACAGGCUGAUACCGCCCAAGAGUUCAUAUCGACGGCGGUGUUUGGCACCUCGAUGUCGGCUCAUCACAUCCUGGGGCUGAAGUAGGUCCCAAGGGUAUGGCUGUUCGCCAUUUAAAGUGGUACGCGAGCUGGGUUUAGAACGUCGUGAGACAGUUCGGUCCCUAUCUGCCGUGGGCGCUGGAGAACUGAGGGGGGCUGCUCCUAGUACGAGAGGACCGGAGUGGACGCAUCACUGGUGUUCGGGUUGUCAUGCCAAUGGCACUGCCCGGUAGCUAAAUGCGGAAGAGAUAAGUGCUGAAAGCAUCUAAGCACGAAACUUGCCCCGAGAUGAGUUCUCCCUGACUCCUUGAGGGUCCUGAAGGAACGUUGAAGACGACGACGUUGAUAGGCCGGGUGUGUAAGCGCAGCGAUGCGUUGAGCUAACCGGUACUAAUGAACCGUGAGGCUUAACCUU
This 980-nucleotide ribosomal RNA is filed under the name human gut metagenome. Its description in RNAcentral is "bacterial LSU rRNA". It matches the Rfam family "Bacterial large subunit ribosomal RNA", at positions 1951 to 2925 of the family's 2925-position model. The record is from RNAcentral.